RNAcentral lists this ribosomal RNA (245 nucleotides) under uncultured bacterium. Its description in RNAcentral is "partial 16S ribosomal RNA". It matches the Rfam family "Bacterial small subunit ribosomal RNA", at positions 524 to 768 of the family's 1533-position model. The record is from RNAcentral.
AACGUAGGAGGCGAGCGUUAUCCGGAUUCACUGGGCGUAAAGCGCAGGUAGGUGGUCCGUUAAGUAGGUCGUGAAAGCCCCCGGCUCAACUGGGGGAGGUCGACCUAAACUGGGGGACUGGAGGGUCCGAGAGGCCGGUGGAAUUCCCGGUGUAGCGGUGGAAUGCGUAGAGAUCGGGAGGAACACCAGUGGCGAAAGCGGCCGGCUGGCGGAACCCUGACACUGAGAAGCGAAAGCGUGGGGAG